Molecule: long non-coding RNA, 261 nt
Filed under: Elaeis guineensis (African oil palm)
Lineage: Eukaryota; Viridiplantae; Streptophyta; Magnoliopsida; Arecales; Arecaceae
Description: long non-coding RNA (EGUI_LNC007823)
Source: RNAcentral
AGCAUUGAUUUCUACUUGCAUUCAUCCCUAAUAAAGCUAUGGAAUGAUUUACAUUUAACAAACUCCUAUCUUCCCCUCAUUCCACAAUUAGAUCCUAGUUCAAUGCUCAAGCAAAAUUUUCACAUACUGUUCAGAUAUAGAACUUCAUUAUACUUAUUUUUGGAACAUUGAAAUUCAUUAUUUUUAAAACAGUAUAUCGACUAUCAAUAACCUUUUGUAGUUAGUUGCCUAACAUAUUCAGGAAGCCAAGCAGAAGAGUUA